Molecule: unclassified non-coding RNA, 348 nt
Filed under: soil metagenome
Description: partial contains 5.8S ribosomal RNA, internal transcribed spacer 2, and large subunit ribosomal RNA
Rfam family: 5.8S ribosomal RNA (bases 1-120)
Source: RNAcentral
GAUGAAGAACGCAGCGAAAUGCGAUAAGUAGUGUGAAUUGCAGAUUUCAGUGAAUCAUCGAAUCUUUGAACGCACAUUGCGCCCUUUGGUAUUCCUUAGGGCAUGCCUGUUCGAGCGUCAUUUAAACCUUCAAGCUCAGCUUGGUGAUGGGUGACUGUCCGCUGCCUCCCCCCGGGGUGCGCCGCGGACUCGCCUCAAAUUUAUUGGCGGCCGGUACGUUGGCUUCGAGCGCAGCAGAAACGCGUAACUCGAGGUCUCCGUGGCGGCUCCCACAAGCAACCUUCAUUAUUUUGACCUCGGAUCAGGUAUGGAUACCCGCUGAACUUAAGCAUAUCAAUAAGCGGAGGA